This 158-nucleotide ribosomal RNA is filed under the name Pseudomonas sp. URMO17WK12:I7. The record is from RNAcentral. Lineage: Bacteria; Pseudomonadati; Pseudomonadota; Gammaproteobacteria; Pseudomonadales; Pseudomonadaceae.
AUUCGCUGGGCUGUCCAUCUGGACAUUCUGGCUACAGAAUUUCUUGACGACCAUAGAGCAUUGGAACCACCUGAUCCCAUCCCGAACUCAGCAGUGAAACGAUGCAUCGCCGAUGGUAGUGUGGGGUUUCCCCAUGUGAGAGUAGGUCAUCGUCAAGA